GAUGAACGCUGGCGGCGUGCCUAAUACAUGCAAGUCGAGCGAACAGACGAGGAGCUUGCUCCUCUGACGUUAGCGGCGGACGGGUGAGUAACACGUGGAUAACCUACCUAUAAGACUGGGAUAACUUCGGGAAACCGGAGCUAAUACCGGAUAAUAUAUUGAACCGCAUGGUUCAAUAGUGAAAGACGGUUUUGCUGUCACUUAUAGAUGGAUCCGCGCCGCAUUAGCUAGUUGGUAAGGUAACGGCUUACCAAGGCAACGAUGCGUAGCCGACCUGAGAGGGUGAUAGGCCACACUGGAACUGGGACACGGUCCAGACGCCUACGGGAGGCAGCAGUAGGGAAUCUUCCGCAAUGGGCGAAAGCCUGACGGAGCAACGCCGCGUGAGUGAUGAAGGUCUUCGGAUCGUAAAACUCUGUUAUUAGGGAAGAACAAAUGUGUAAGUAACUAUGCACGUCUUGACGGUACCUGAUCAGAAAGCCACGGCUAACUACGUG
RNAcentral lists this ribosomal RNA (497 nucleotides) under uncultured bacterium. Its description in RNAcentral is "partial 16S ribosomal RNA". It matches the Rfam family "Bacterial small subunit ribosomal RNA", at positions 28 to 507 of the family's 1533-position model. The record is from RNAcentral.